This 28-nucleotide non-coding RNA is filed under the name Bombyx mori (domestic silkworm). Lineage: Eukaryota; Metazoa; Arthropoda; Insecta; Lepidoptera; Bombycidae. The record is from RNAcentral.
UACAUAGUUGUCUAUCGAUUCUUCGAGA